Molecule: ribosomal RNA, 478 nt
Filed under: uncultured organism
Description: partial 16S ribosomal RNA
Rfam family: Bacterial small subunit ribosomal RNA
Source: RNAcentral
GUACACUCCUGCGGGAGGCAGCAGUGGGGAAUAUUGCACAAUGGGCGCAAGCCUGAUGCAGCCAUGCCGCGUGUAUGAAGAAGGCCUUCGGGUUGUAAAGUACUUUCAGCGGGGAGGAAGGCAAUACGGUUAAUAACCGUGUUGAUUGACGUUACCCGCAGAAGAAGCACCGGCUAACUCCGUGCCAGCAGCCGCGGUAAUACGGAGGGUGCAAGCGUUAAUCGGAAUUACUGGGCGGAAAGCGCACGCAGGCGGUCUGUCAAGUCGGAUGUGAAAUCCCCGGGCUCAACCUGGGAACUGCAUUCGAAACUGGCAGGCUUGAGUCUUGUAGAGGGGGGUAGAAUUCCAGGUGUAGCGGUGAAAUGCGUAGAGAUCUGGAGGAAUACCGGUGGCGAAGGCGGCCCCCUGGACAAAGACUGACGCUCAGGUGCGAAAGCGUGGGGAGCAAACAGGAUUAGAUACCCGAGUAGUCCCAUGA